RNAcentral lists this unclassified non-coding RNA (379 nucleotides) under uncultured bacterium. Its description in RNAcentral is "contains 16S-23S intergenic spacer region". The record is from RNAcentral.
UCCCCGUUUUCCGGGGCAGUCCUUGUAGAGUUCCCGGCAUGACCCGAUGGCAACUACAGGCAAGGGUUGCGCUCGUUGCGGGACUUAACCCAACAUCUCACGACACGAGCUGACGACAGCCAUGCAGCACCUCUACCGAUGUCCCUUGCGGGAGGGCCCCAUCUCUGGGGAUUUCAUCGGCGGUUCAAACCCAGGUAAGGUUCUUCGCGUUGCGUCGAAUUAAACCACAUGCUCCGCUGCUUGUGCGGGUCCUCGUCAAUUCCUUUGAGUUUUAACCUUGCGGCCGUACUCCCCAGGCGGUCAACUUAAUGCGUUAGCUGCGCCACUAAGAGCUCAAGGCUCCCAACGGCUAGUUGACAUCGUUUACGGCGUGGACUAC